UCCCUCAAUUAAAAAUAAACACAUUUAAUUUAGAAAAAAAAAAAAAAGGAUUUCUCACCAAUGAAUAGCCCAUCCUGUGACCAGAGGCUGUAGGCAGGACUCCCAGGAAGAAAACGUGACCUCGUGAGCGUCCCGUGACAGAUCAUCAAAACCUUCAGAAACAAAUGGUUGACUGUUCCAAACAGACUCCCCAGGGCCAAGGGGUCCUAGGAGUUCCCCGCUCUUCCUGACAGACAGUCCCUGAAAAGCACACUGUAGUGAUGGAAUGGGGUUAAGUAGAGGUGCACUCCUGAUGAUUCCCCACAUUGGCCCAGGGAAGGUUCCCAUGACACAGAUUUGGGGAGCAGAUAAUCUGAGGCAGCAUAAGAAGGAUAAGCUGCAGCUUGUUUUGCAAUGUUACCCAGAAUUCCCCAGACUCCACAACUUUGACCCUAUGUCCUAGAACCAGGAAUUGGGAGCAGGAGUGCUGGGAAUAUGGGGUCACACAUGUCUCCAGCUCCCAGGGCUUCCUGCCAGACUUCUUAGUCUUUGGGAAUUCUUUGCAGGCCCCUAAGGAGGUAUGAAAGCUGGUCCCAAGUUCACCUGACUUAUUGAAAAGUUAACUUCCUGGCUGAGAUGCUCAAAGUAGACCAUUAAUGGGGAGGGAGCAACGUCGAUGUCCCUAAGGCCAACCCUCUGCUCUUUCCAGUACCCUGGGGUGUACCUUACCCAUUUGUUGUUGUUUAGUCACUUCAGUCGCCUGCCAGGCGUCUCUGUCCAUGGUAUUUCCCAGGCAAGAGUACUGGAGUGGGGUGCCAUUGCCUUCUCCAAAAGAUGACACUAGAAAUCACUUAACAUUUAUACAUAUAAUAAAAUAAUAGCAUUCUUCCAUUUCCAGUAAAAUCUCUAGGGAAAAGGAAAAUUAUAGGGGAGCAAAUAAUGUUCCCUCUCCCAAAGUCAACCCUGAGUUCUCUGCUAAUCUUGGGAUUUGAGAAUAGUUCUCAAGUCUCCCCAAAGCCAUCUAUUUUGAGUAGACAAUUCCCAGUUCAUACAUGACUGCUUUCAAAACUCUUGACACAUACUGUCCU
Bos taurus (domestic cattle) is the source of this 1067-nucleotide long non-coding RNA. The record is from Ensembl. Lineage: Eukaryota; Metazoa; Chordata; Mammalia; Artiodactyla; Bovidae.